This 1964-nucleotide long non-coding RNA is filed under the name Canis lupus familiaris (dog). RNAcentral describes it as "lncRNA (ENSCAFG00845006282.1)". The record is from RNAcentral. Lineage: Eukaryota; Metazoa; Chordata; Mammalia; Carnivora; Canidae.
GUCCUUUGGAGGAACAGACCAUAGCUUUGUAAGUUUUAAUCUCCUGUGCCCAGCUCAGUGCAUGGCAGAAGGCAAUUGCCUGGUCUGUGGUGGAGGUGCUGGUUAUUUUUGGUGUAGAUGUUACCUUUAUCAUGGUAGGGAUGGGAGGCUCAGCCUGACCAAAACACCGGGCAGGGUACAGGAUGGCUGGGAAGCUGCUGAUAAGGCUCUGCCAGCAUUACAGCCCCAGCCCUGGUGAUCACCGUGAUCCCUGAUCGCCGUCGCACUGGCUGGUUCUGGGGGUCUGGGCGCUGGUCAUGCCGGUCGCGCCGGGUCUGGCCACCGGGUGGCACCCACGCUCCACAAAUGCUGCCACCGCGCUGGGCUCGGUCUCCGCUAGGCUCUGCUUGGGAACCAGGGGAGGCAGGGGCUGCAGGAGGUCCAGCGCUGCCCUAGUCCCAGCCCCUGGCUCUCUGAGCCAUGAGUUGACAUUCGUCCCCACUAGGCCUUCUUCCUCAAGCCUUUGUGUUUAUUCUGUUCCCUGCAGACCGAGUGAUGCCCCUUCUCCCAGGCGGCCUGUCUGCCCAUCAGGAGGCCCAGCGCGGCCAGACAGUGAGCCACGAGCACCCUCAGCCCUGGAGCCCGCCCAGUGGUGUUUACAGGAGGCCGGGUCUGGGAACACCUGUUGUCCAGGCAGCCUCCUGCUGUCCUGCCUCCCUACACCCAGCUCACCAUCAGAAAUGCCAUGUUUCUGCCUGUCCUCGUUAUGGCCAGCACUAACUGGCUUUUGCCCCCCGAGUAACACAUCAACUACAAGAAACAGAGAAAUUUUCUGUUUAGGGAAGGUGAAUGAACAGCUGAUCCGGGUGUGGGAGGGCAAAUAGCUUGAGGGCAGCGUGGAAGAAUCAUCCCUAGCCAGGCACCUCCCGGAGAUGGAGUCAAUUUUCUGAGUGUAGCAUGGACCUUCCUCCCAACACCCAGAUGGAAUGUCACUAGACCCUUCCCGCGGGCACCGUGCCCAGUGCCAGCGACUGGAUUGACAUCUUCAAGGUGGAGGCUGCCUGUGUUCUGGAUUACCACACGUUUGUCUGGUCUUCAGUGCCGGAAAAUGCAGCUGCCGGCUCCCCUGUCCACACCAGUGUCCAGUUCCAAGCCAGCUACCUGCCCAAACCCAGAGCCCAGCUCUACCAAUUCUGGUAGGUGAACUGCCAGGGCUGGGUGUGUGGGCAGAGUCCCCCUUUGCAGUUCCGAGAGCCAAGGCCCACGGAUGAACUGGUGACCCUGGAGGAGACUGAUGGUGACGCUGACAUCCUGCUGGUUGUCCCCAAGGCCACUGUGCUGCAGAACCAGCUGGAUGAGAGCCAGCAAGAGAGGAAUGACCUGAUGCAGCUGAAGCUGCAGCUGGAGGGACAGGUGAGGGAGCUGAAGAAUCAAGUACAGGUUCUCAGGCGGCCCUGGCGACUGCCAGGAGGAGCACGCGGAGCUCAGGGAGCAGUACAAGGGGCUCGCCCGGUCCCACGGGACCUCGUAGAAGAGAGGGACAUCCUGAGCCGACAACAGGGAGGCCAUGUGGCACGCGUCCUUGAGCUGGAAGAUGACAUCCGGACCAUCAGUGAGAAAGUGCUGACAAAGGAGGUGGAGUUGGACAGGGUGAGGACACGGUGAGGGACACGGUGAAGGCCCUAACUGGGGAACAAGAGAGGCUCCUUGGGCAGCUGAAAGAAGUGCGAGCACAGGGAGCCAAGUGAGGCUGAGCUCCAGAGGGCACCACAGGAAAUCCAUCGCUUAACUUGGGAGCUGCAGGAAGCAAAGGGCCGGCAGGAGGAACAGGGUGCUCGGGCCCAGCGACUGCAGGACAAGGUGGCCCCGAUGAAGGACACCUGGGCCAGGCCCAGCAGCGUGUGGCCGAGCUGGAGCCCCAGGGAGCAUCUUGGAGGAGCCCCGGAGCUCGCAGCCUCGCGUCAGCACGAGGCCGCCCUUCGGGG